GACGAACGCUGGCGGCGUGCUUAACACAUGCAAGUCGAACGGAAAGGCCCUGCUUUUGUGGGGUGCUCGAGUGGCGAACGUGGGAGUAACACGUGAGUAACCUGCCCUUUACUUUGGGAUAUCUUCAGUAAACUGGGGCUACUGCCGGUUAGUAGCGCCUGCUGCAUGGGGGGGGUUGGAAGGUUUCGGCGGUUGGGGAUGGACUCGCGGCUUAUCAGCUUGUUGGUGGGGUAGUGGCUUACCAAGGCUUUGACGGGUAGCCGGCCUGAGAGGGUGACCGGACACAUUGGGACUGAGAUAAGGCCCAGAAUCCUACGGGAGGCAGCAGUGGGGAAUAUUGCACAAUGGGCGGAAGCCUGAUGCAGCAACGCCGCGUGCGGGAUGACGGCCUUCGGGUUGUAAACCGCUUUCGCCUGUGACGAAGCGUGAGUGACGGUAAUGGGUAAAGAAGCACCGGCUAACUACGUG
This 468-nucleotide ribosomal RNA is filed under the name uncultured bacterium. Its description in RNAcentral is "partial 16S ribosomal RNA". It matches the Rfam family "Bacterial small subunit ribosomal RNA", at positions 28 to 507 of the family's 1533-position model. The record is from RNAcentral.